UGGGGAAUAUUGCACAAUGGGCGCAAGCCUGAUGCAGCCAUGCCGCGUGUAUGAAGAAGGCCUUCGGGUUGUAAAGUACUUUCAGCGAGGAGGAAGGCGUUGUGGUUAAUGACCGCAGCGAUUGACGUUACUCGCAGAAGAAGCACCGGCUAACUCCGUGCCAGCAGCCGCGGUAAUACGGAGGGUGCAAGCGUUAAUCGGAAUUACUGGGCGUAAAGCGCACGCAGGCGGUCUGUCAAGUCGGAUGUGAAAUCCCCGGGCUCAACCUGGGAACUGCAUCCGAAACUGGCAGGCUAGAGUCUUGUAGAGGGGGGUAGAAUUCCAGGUGUAGCGGUGAAAUGCGUAGAGAUCUGGAGGAAUACCGGUGGCGAAGGCGGCCCCCUGGACAAAGACUGACGCUCAGGUGCGAAAGCGUGGGGAGCAAACA
RNAcentral lists this ribosomal RNA (427 nucleotides) under uncultured bacterium. RNAcentral describes it as "partial 16S ribosomal RNA". It matches the Rfam family "Bacterial small subunit ribosomal RNA", at positions 355 to 774 of the family's 1533-position model. The record is from RNAcentral.